CCUACGGGGGGCAGCAGUGGGGAAUAUUGCGCAAUGGGCGAAAGCCUGACGCAGCGACGCCGCGUGAGGGAUGAAGGUCUUCGGAUCGUAAACCUCUGUCAGCAGGGAAGCACGGUCACUGUGCUAUUCAGCAGUGAAUUGACGGUACCUGCAAAGGAAGCACCGGCUAACUCCGUGCCAGCAGCCGCGGUAAUACGGAGGGCGCGAGCGUUAAUCGGAAAUACUGGGCUUAAAGCGCUCGUAGGCGGUAUGGCAAGUCAAGGGUGAAAGCCCCGGGCUCAACGGGGGAACUGCCUAUGAAACUGGGAAACUGGAGUGUGUGAGAGGAUAGUGGAAUUCCAGGUGUAGGAGUGAAAUCCGUAGAUAUCGGGAGGAACAUCAGUGGCGAAGGCGACUAUCUGGCACAUAACUGACGCUGAGGAGCGAAAGCGUGGGUAGCAAACAGGAUUAGAUACCCCUGUAGUC
This 465-nucleotide ribosomal RNA is filed under the name uncultured bacterium. RNAcentral describes it as "partial 16S ribosomal RNA". It matches the Rfam family "Bacterial small subunit ribosomal RNA", at positions 338 to 795 of the family's 1533-position model. The record is from RNAcentral.